UCCCUGGGGGUCCAGUGGCUAAGACUCCUUGCUCCAAAGCAGGAGGUCUUGGUUCGAUCCCUGGUCAGGGAA
This is a transfer RNA of Ovis aries (sheep), 72 nucleotides long. It matches the Rfam family "tRNA". Rfam says of the family: Transfer RNA (tRNA) molecules are approximately 80 nucleotides in length. Lineage: Eukaryota; Metazoa; Chordata; Mammalia; Artiodactyla; Bovidae. The record is from Rfam.